CUUGCAAUGAAUUAGACAUACCAAUCUGCAUGCUUUUCAGCUAUUGGUUUUACCUCCUGCUCUUGACUGUGUGCGGUGGUCAUAUUUUUCCUAGGUCUAAUUCUCUGCAUGCGGCGGUAUCUUGAGAAUCCCAAGAUAGAUUACAAAUGGUACAUGCUUAUCAUUACAAGCCCUCAUUGCACAUAGAAGAUUUAACAUAGUAGAAUCCUAGCAAUUGGCCAAACAAUCCUAGCAUGUUGCAGACCUAGAAUUCUUCAGUGGGAAGACUCACGAAGAAGAUGUGACAAACAUGGUGUAAUUGGUUGAAGUGUAUUGUAGCAUGUUCCUCGGACUGUUCCUGUUACCUCUGAUGACUAUAUGCAGAUGAAGAGAUCAUUGUUGAUGAAUUAAGCAUACUAGGGCAGAUCCAUGUCGCUCACUGUAAAAUCCUAAAAAGAGUAGCUUGCAAAGUGCAAAUGCAGUAGGAU
This 467-nucleotide long non-coding RNA is filed under the name Oryza brachyantha (malo sina). Its description in RNAcentral is "long non-coding RNA (OBRA_LNC001680)". The record is from RNAcentral. Lineage: Eukaryota; Viridiplantae; Streptophyta; Magnoliopsida; Poales; Poaceae.